AAGAUGGCAGAUGACACUGACCGUGCUGACUCUAACUGCAUUCCAAAUUAUAAGUUUGUACACUGUAAAAGUGUGGCACAGGCUUUUAUGACUAUCUACAGUGGAAUUUCCACCUUUUCUGUGGCAUUGCCACCUAAUCCAACAAUUGCAACUGAUGAAUCGCAUAUCAGAGCCAAGGUGUAAUUUGAUCCGCUCACCAUUAUUGCCAUGUAUGGCACAAGGCUCACCCAUUCAAUGGUUGAGAUAUAUUGGAGUAGCAACGGCUUAUUCUACACGCCCAGUGAAGGGAUUGACAUGUUUUCACGUACGAAAGCUAAGGGAUGCAUAAAAAGACAGCUUCUAGGGAGCAAAGAGUUAAUAUUAAAUUGAUACAUAUAUAAUACUCAGAUUGUAAUAGGUUAUCAUUUAAAUAGUACUGACCUGCUAACUUUAUUCAAAAUUGUCACAUAUAAAGACAUUUAUAUAUGUAUAUAAAUGGUUUAUGGUGUUUGUAGUGUGAUUAUUUUUAGAUGUUAAUACGCGCCUAACGGAAUUUUUCAAUGCGUAUGCACAUUUAUCAUUCCUUAUUUUGUAAACAUAAAUGGCCAUCUUUUUAUUAAAAGGUGAGAUAAAAAGUGUCUAUUGCCACUGAUUGAUAAGAACUGACCCUUCAGAUUUUUAUCCGUAUUAAGGAUUGACAUCUUAAGAGCGCUUUAACAAGAUAAUUUGUUUGUUUAGAUGUGUGUUUUUUGUAUAAAUUGAAUAGUGUCACCUCGGAGUCCGGUAUCACAUAUGUAUGAUGACCUAUAUGUGCUGCAGUGUCUGUGAACAUGAACGAUCUGUUGUAGCUGGAUGUGUAUGCUAUUGGUAGGUGAUUCUCAUGUAAGAAGAUUCGAAAACUAUGUGAAAGGUUUGCUUAGGUAUGAAACAUUCAACAUAAGUGAUUUAGGGAUUUUUGCAUUCUGCGGGAUUAGUGGAAGAUCUAUCGCCAAUCAUGCGCACACUUGGCCUCAGAACGUUUGGUGAACUUGGGAGGAAACGAUCUGGACUAGUCAGAGGAUAUUGAUUGUAUAAUAUCCAGGCUAGAGUCAUUCUCAUCUUUGUUAAAAAGACAGUUCAACCUUUGAACUGUUGUUAUUUUAAGUUUCAUGCAUCACUAUAGGACAAGGAACAUUAGCAUCACAAGUUACAAUAGUCGAGUGGACGCAGCAAACCAAUUACUCAAAACAUACAUUCCACAAGGUUGUAUGCUAUUUUGGAAAUUGAAAGGCUUCAAAAACAGUGUGAAUAACAUUUUUAGUGACGGUGUUCAUUUAAACUGUGUAGGACAGUACAAACUUUUGAGACAAAUUAGGGGAAUUAUCCUUUUGUUUACCUGGAACUCAUAAUUUUCCAUGGAGACAGGGGCUUCAUGGGUACACACAUUCAUAAAUCAUAGUUUUUACAUAUUUUUAAAUGUUUUUCCUUUUAAUAUAACAUGUUUAAUUUACCCAGCUUAUUUUUUAUGAUAUUACAAUACAUGACCAAAAUUAUGCCAACAAUUGAAGACACAUUCAAAUCCUGCAUCGCACAUUAUUUCAACAAAACGAAGGCUACAGACACUACUCAGCCACUGCCUUUAGAGCCACCUACCCUCCUACAGCAAACUACAGGUGGUAGUCAUGUACCGAUUACAUCUACAGGUAACCAAGAUUGUCUGGUUGACUCCAAUCCUCCUCAGACCCUGUCUGCUCUAUCUUUGACUUUGGGGGUACACCAAAAAACCCAUGCCAAAAUUCAAAGUCAUGAAUACGUUAAGUUUGCUUUACUCGUAAAACAAAAUGACCCAGACAAUGAAGAGGCAUACUGUGGUUUCAUCAAUAUUCGUUGAAUACCAAUUUUCGUGGAUUUCGAUGUUAAGUUGAUCCACGAAUUUAAAUGUUCAUUGAAGUUCAAUUUCAACUAACAUUUUGCAUUAAUAUGAUCACUGGCCACGGAAUUACGUAUCCUUGAAACUGUGGUUUUCAGAAAAUCCACGAAAAUUGAUACCCACGAAAAUUAAUGAAACCACAGUAAUGCUACCACGUUAUGGUGGCAGAUAACACCCUAUACAAUUUUACACUCCGGACUCCGGGACAUUUUUUAGCAAUAACGUACUUUGUUAACUCUGGUGCUUCUUUUGAAUUUUUUUUUUUUUGUUUUUCUAGUCAAAGAUUGGCACUAACCUUGUGUUUUCACUGCAUAAUAUUUUUGCUCCCAGUCUUUUUAUUGAUUGUAUAAAUGGACAUUGUUUGUAAUUUAUUCUAAUAUGUCUUGAAUAAAUGACCAUUCCUAUUCCUGUUACCUACGAGUUACUGUUAUGAUUUCAUAGGUGGUCAAAUAUAAUGUUACUGUAUAUUUUUCUUCAAGAAAACAAGUUGGAGGACUCCCUGCAAACCUGCGAAAAAAAGGCAAAUGUGUAAAAUAUUUCAAUGUUUUAUGGUUAUUUUUGGAGCUGUUUUCGUUUGAGUUGUGUAGUUCAUAUGUGAAUGAUUAUAUUUCAGGAAAUAAACAUGUCAGAGCGAAAUGGAUGAUGUAGAGUUUCUUGAAAGAAUUGUAAAGAACAAUAAAGAUUUCAUAGCCGGACAAAUUGAUAGUAUGAAGAAAGACAUGAAGAAUCAAAUUUCUACUUUGGAAAAAAAACCUCAAAAGAGAUGGAGGAAGAAAACAACAAAAUUGCUAGCAUGAAGAAAGACUUGAAGAAUCAAAUUUCCACUGUGGAAAACAAACUGAAAGAGAUGGAGGAAAAAAACCACAGACUUAGCAAAUGAAGACAGAUGUUAUUUGUGUACAUUAAACUGGAUCUGUUAAACAAUUUUUUAUAUGAGAUUCUACAGUUACUGUAUUCAGAUUUGACCAUGUUGACCAAACAAAUGGCUGUAUAUAGGUUUGUGUUACAUUGUUAACACGAACCAACACAUCUGUUUUCAGUAGUAAAAGUACUUCUAGAUAUAGAGCUUGUUCCACUAAUUACAGGAUUUAGUAAGUUGAAGAGAAAAGGAAGAAAACAUGUCCAAGUGGUCCAGGAUGCCCUGAACUACCAAAGACAUGAAUCAAUUCACAUGGGGACAUAAACAAAGUGCCGUGUUCACCAAACCAAAAAGAAAUGUUAGAAUACUGUUUUCGGUUGCAAAUUUUGCAGUAUACACAUGCAAAGAUGGAUGCAUUUUUUUUUAUCAUAGUGGACAGUAAAUACUUCAAAAUAUGUACCGGUAAUUAUGCAAUGAAUAUGCAAAUCUUAAUAUUACAUGUACAUUGUUGAUUAUGUAAUAAUCAUUGUUUAUAUAUUAAACUCUUUCAAUUUUUCCCUUGGGGAACCCUAUGUGUAUAUGUUAAUUUUAGACAAGCCCCGUUUUCAGUGUAAUUUUCAGCGUCAAUAGCCUCUGUUGUUUUAAUUCAUCAAAUCUCAUGCCACCCUCUUCUAUGGACUUAUUUAUCUACUCUUUUUGUGUAUUAUCGCUUUCAUGGAAUAUGGAUUUUUUAUUUGUGAUAGUGUUUCAUUGGGAUGAUUAUUCCGUUUAAUUUAUUUUGAUUUUGAACUCUGAACUUUGAACAAUGGCCUCGGGUCGGAGAUCACACGCCAAUUCUUCUAUGCCUCAUGUAGAGGAAUCCGACAAUCCUUCUAAUUGGACAGUUACAGUUUUGAAGAAGAAAUUGGCAGAUAUGGGAAUAGUUAUUAAUGCACAAUUAUCACAUAGCGUGUUAAAAAGAAUUUAUUUAGACAAUGUAAACAAUGGUGUAGGUAAGGAAGUAAAUUUAAACGUCUUACUCAUACCCAACUAUACUACGCCAUUGCAUAAGAAAAUCAGAAAGAAUACAAGCGUCUUGUGAAAAAUUUGACUUUAGAUGAAUUCAUAAUUGCAUUUGGACGGUACAAACGUAUUAUGUGCAAAUAUUUACACAUAUGUAAAUCUUGCAAGUCAAACCAAGAUUGAAUGCAAUCAAACGAAGACUAAUGGAAACGACAACCCAGUCGAACGAUAUAAACAGUUGAACAAAACAUUUAAAUCGCCAUCUUGUGACGUAGUGUCUUAAAAAGUAUAAGUCUUGGUGUAGUGAAGUACCUUAAGCGUACAAGACUGCGUAUAACGAGUUCUAUUCUUUGUAAAAUUUGUCAUUUGCUUCAUUCAGGUAUAUUCCAUAUGUUUACUAAACUAGUUCUUUGUUAGAAGCAGCAUGCACUGCUGCUUUCUUUGGAUUUUUAAGAUGUUUUACUGCGUUUAGUGAAAUUAAUGUCAAUGAUUGCCUUUUGAUAUACCAACUAUCAUGACUAGGACUCGUUUUGAGAGAAUCUCAAAAUAUUUUCAUAUGAACGACACCACACAAAACCCUGCCCAAGGGCAACCAGGACACGACGAAGAAUGUCACAUUAGCCCAGUCUUAGAAAAAGUUUCAGAAACGUGCUUUGAAAAUUAUCAUCCCCACAAGGAACAAUCAGUGGAUGAAGGAAUGAUAGCUUUUAAAGGAAGACUCUCAUUUAACUCAUUCAGCCCCACUGACAAGUAUUUUCGUCAUAUUUAUGAUGCGCUAUUUAGCCGCUGACGAGUAUAGUCGUCUGGGUUUUCCCCGGCAAUAUGGCCGUUUUACCUGUAUGUUAAACAAGCAGUGGUUGGUCGAAACUAGAGAAUUUCAUGUACACAUGGUUAUACCAACCAAUAAAAUACAUGUUUAAAUGCCUUUCAGUGAAGUGUUCUUUAUUUAGAUGCGAUAUAAAUACCUGUAAACAAAGGAAUUCGGCACGUGUUAAAUUUACCGAUCGAAAAUGGCGGACGUAUUGCGGGAAAUAUUACAAGACGAUAGUGGCGAAGAAUUUGAGGUUUUUAAAUUGGAGGAUGUAGAAAAAGCAGAUAAUACUUAUGUCUAUCAUCUGCUUGCAUUGGAUGAUGCCAAUGAACAAGGAUCAGACCUCGAAGUGUCCGAUUUUGAAUCGGAAUCAGACCGUGAGUCAGACACUGAAAGUUAAAGUGACGAUGACGAUAUCGUGCUGGCAGAUUACAAUCGUUGGACAGAGAAUUUACGUGACAUUAAUGUUCCUGCAUUCAAUGGACCACAGCCUGGACCUACACAAACACUCGAAGCGGAUAAAAAUGAAAUAGAUUUCUUAAAUUUAUUGUUUCCUGAGGAGUUAUACUUGAAGAUAUCUGACGAAACAAACGCUUAUGCUCAACUCUGCAUCAGGGUUAAAGCAAAUCCUGGAUGGUACGACACAAAGGUUGAGGAAAUACGUGCUUUUCUUGGAUGUUCAGUCGUAAUGGGGAUUAUAAGUGCACCUGCACAAGAUCUCUAUUGGUCAAAGGACAAACUGUUUCAUUUGUCAUGUAUUGAAGAAAGGUUCACAAGAACAAGAUUCGAAAAUAUUCAGAGGUAUUUUCACUUGGCCGACGCCACACAAAAUCCACCAAGGAACCAGCCUGGGCAUGUUCACAAACUUGUUCAUGUACGAACAAUAAUGGAAACAAUCAGAGAAAAUUUCAAACGACAAUACAAUGCACACAAAGAGGUUUCAAUUGAUGAGGCCAUGAUUGGAUUCUCAGGCCAGCUUGGUUACAAGCAGGGUGUAAUAUAUAUAUACACAUUUUGGGACAUAUAUUAUCAGCCCAAUUGAAAACGUUCCCCACAUUUACGAUGAUGUUUGAUACUUGUACUUGAUUAAGCAAGCGUUUAAUUUAAUCGGACUUUUGUUUAUGUUUUUAUGCACCAGUAGAAAUCUGUGGUGUACAUGGGUUUAAGUAAGAGAAUUUGUCAUCCGACAUUCGGAAGCCAUGUUUAAAAUCCCCAGGUGUAAAUCAUGUGACCCACCAAAAUGGCCGCCUAAUGCAAGUCGACUGUACAGUUUCAGAUCAAAAUACGAUGACCGCUGACUGCGUUAGACAGCUGACCGCUCUUAAGAGGGCAAUUAUAUAGGAUUUUUCAUCCGGAGGAAAUAAAAUGACCGCAUACGAAAGGUGACUGCUUAAUAGGGGUGGCCGCUUCGGCAGUUUUGAUUGUAAUUUUUUUUCAGAUUGUAAGCCCAUCAAAACAUCCAGAUGAGUACUGGGUGUGCUUUUUCAAAAAAGCAACAACUAAGAAAACCCUCAUGAAACUUGAAGAAAAGGAGUUUUUUGCUUUUUUAAAUGAAAUAACAAGAAAAAUCAAAGACCCUGUGCUAGAGGCUUUUGGAAGCCGAAUUUAUUAUAAUUUCAGUGAUAUUAGUACUUAGGACAAUAUCAGCAGAUCAAUAGCUGUAAUUACAAACUUGUCAAUCAUGCACUUUUCUUAUAUAAUCUAAAGAAAGCUGAUAAUGGUCCUAUACUAGUACUAAUUAUAUCAACUAUUCAUAAUAAAAAAGAUUUAAGGUUUAAUGCGUAUGAGAAAUUGUUUUACUCAUGUGUGAUACCAGUUUUGGAUUAUGCAUCCAGAAUUUGGGGUUUCAAAAAAUUUCAAUCAAUUGAUAAUAUUCAAAAUAGAGCUAAUCAAUAUUUCAUGGGGGUUCACUGUUUUGUGUCAACAUUGGCUAUAUAUGCCUUAAUGGAGACACCAGAUGGAUACCUAGCCAAUUCAGACGAUGGAUAAAUAUGAUCUCAGGGCUCGACAUUAACGCUUGUCCGGUACCAGUUAAAAAAAUAUACGGACAAGUGAAUAUUGCUUGCCACUUGUCCGACUGGACAAGUGCAUUUUUAUGUAAAGAAGUCUCCAACAUUUUAAAAAGUAAAGAAAGUUUUCUGAUAAGUUUAUCCGUAGUCCCGUUAUAAGUUUAUCGAUUAGUUAUUUUGAAUUUCGAUCCCGACUUCAAAUUGAAAUGCAAUUGAGUUACUCUUGAUCGGGAUUGAAGUUCACUAAUUACAAACAACUUUCAAUAUUGAACUGUAAAGGUGUGGAUCUUAGUUCUUACACAGUACCAAACACACAUGUUAUCAAAAGAAAGGAAUAACAGGUAGCAAAGAUAAACUUAAGGAUUAUGGAAAGAAAUGUAAUUUAUAUUAGGUUUCUUUCAUCAUUGAUAGUCUAUGAUGACUUUCCAUGUUUAGAUUAAAAAACAGAUGAGAAAUCAAUAUAAGAGUUACAUGUAUUUUAAAACCUGAUGCUAAAUUUAAAAUGUCUUGUAAUUUGCCAUGACAAAGCUACAGCUGACAAAUCAUGUUUAAUGUUAUAUGGAACCAAUUCAUUUAGGAAAGACAUCCAAGAAGUCAGGUUAUUAAUUAUGGCAAGAAUAAUUAUCAAUAAAUGACUUUAUUUUAGUAAUACAGAACUGUAGUUUUCAAGUUGACAAUAUUUGAUCUUUAAUAUUGAAAUUUUUUUGGACAAGUGAAGUUGAAGUUCAGACAAGUAAAUAUCUUGGUCACUUGUCCGAAUGGACAAGUAGAAAAAAAAGUUAAUGUAGAGCCCUGGAUCUGAUUUUGGAAUAGAGUGUUAUCCUUUGAAGAGGAACGAAUUAAACGAAUUGUAUUUGAAUUUGAUUAUAAUAGAUGUAGAAAUAACUGGUGCUGUGUCUUAAAAGAAGUUUUUCAUAUUUUAGAAUUUGAUAAUUACUUUGAAUCAAAGUUGAUGGUGGAUAUAGAUUUAGUUCAAUCAAAAAUACACACUUUAAGUUACUAUUCAAACUAUUGGAGUGAUGAAAUACUUAACAUCUCUAAAUUAUACGUACUUUCGUAAUAUUCAAAGCAGUCUUUGGAAGAGAAAAUUACCCUUUUUUAGAUAUGCCUGAGUAUUUACGAUCAACUUUGGCUCAAUUUAGAUGUGGUAUUAUACCAAUAAGAAUCAAAACUGGAAUAUUUCAGGGGGGAACCUAUUAAAGAAAGAAUUUGUGUUUUUUGUACCAAUAGAGGUUUAGAAGAUGAAUUUCAUUUUCUAUUACAUUGUUUUUUAUAUAUAUAACGAUUAUCGUAAAAAACCAUUUGAAAAUACUGGUCAGGUUGCCAAAUAUUUAUACUCAUCUAUUAAGAAAAGACAAUCACUUGUAUUUAAGUAAUGAGUUGUAAGCAAAUAUAUAAAAAUAAUACUUAAACUCACUGAUAUCCCAAAACUCCUUAAAGAUUUAUUUGUUGUAUUAUGUAUUUAAACAUGUAUUUUUGGGGUUUUUUUUGGUCCUUUAGGGUUUUUUCCCCCCAUCUUGCAUUGCGUUCUUUCCUUUAUGUAUUACAAUUUUAGUGAUUAACUCUUCGACCAUGAUAUGACAACAGAGUCAACAAAAAGCUUGUCCAAGACUGGCAGAAACAAAAGGAUGCACUGAGGAAGACUAAGAAAUCACGGAUAGCCUUUCUCAAAGCCAAAGCCAUGCCAGAAGAAAUGAAGAUCGACGACUUCCAGAGCACAGUAUCAUGGUGCUUCUGUUUCAUGAAGAGAAAGGACUUGGCCAUAAGACAGCGGACCACCCUUUUCAAGACCCUACCAGAUGAUCACUGAGAGAAGAUGGCUGCAUUCCAGGCAUUCGUCGAUGACCAGACAAAGAAAUUUAACCUCAGCAGUGACCAGUCAACAUCGAUGAGGUGCUGCUGACCUUCGACAUCCCAAUGAACAGGAUUAUCGACAGCAAAGGAAUCAGCAGCAUCAACAUUAGAACAACGGGCCAUGAGAAAGUGAGCUUCACGGUAGUCCUAGGAUAGGGAAAAAGCUGCCCCCAAUGGUUAUCUUUAAGAGGAAGACGGCGAUCAAAGACAAGUUUUGGUUGAUUGCAUAUACCGGCAAACAAAAUAAACUUGUCAGCCAUAUGUCAUUAUGACCCAUGGUAUGUGCCUUCAAAAUUCCAACAGAAAUGAAUACCAAAGGGGAAAACCGCAGUGAGUGUGGACAAAAUGAUUGAUAUGAUGACAAGAACAGCCAAAAUUCAUCAGAAAAGAAGUUUGAGGAGUCCCUGCAAACCUGUGCAGAGCCUUCUUCCACAAGCUGGAGAGAAAUCUUGUACAAAGCAUAACAUGCCAGUAUUUUGGGGUUGUUGGCCACAGCACACGUCUGGCUGGGAACCAGAGGUACCAAAGAAAUGCUGUGGACACAGACCGCCCAGAAGGGGGUGUUGACCUUGAAUGCCAGUACUUGUUCAAUGUGGAACAUCAACACUUUUAAUCUGAGAUUAUCUACAUGGACAACUUCUAUCCACCCCUCGACUUUGCUAGACCGUCUGUGGAAAAAGAAAAGACAUGCGCAAGGGAAUCAAGUCCUGCAAACUAAAGAACAAUGGAGACCAUAAAAUCCUUGAGAAAAAAAGAAUUUGUUGCUACUGCAUAGUGGGACAAAAACUGUUUACUUGUAAAAAAUGGACACAUCAGUGUUUUGAGAAAACAAAAAGAUUGCACCAUGAAGGAUGUUUCCUGCUUAGCUAUUUGUCAACAAUAAAAAUAGAUUAUUGUUUGGAGUAGAUAGUGCUGACCAUGUGAAAAAAAAUGGUGGAAAUAUUUGUGGUAAAAAUUGCGAACAAUGAUAUAUUAAUAAUAAUGAUAAAUAAUUGAUAAAAAGUGUGAACAUCUUUUUUUUGUUAUACAUGUUCUUAUUAAUUACCCAUAGGUAAUGAGUUAAUGAGUAAUAAAUGUGUUGACUGCUGCACUGUGUUUUCAUUCAGCUUGAAAUUAUCUCUGGAAGUCAAGUGAGCUAGUAAACAAGCGCUGGUAGGCAGCCCGAGUCCUUAUCAGCAGCAGGCUAUCUAUAUAUAGCGUGUAGCAGUUAAAGACUUAAUCUAAUUAAGGAAUAUUUUCUGUGAAAAUUUCAAUGCUAAAAAAUUCCUUAAAGAAUUAACUACAGAUUUGCUAACUAACUUGCUUCAAACAAUUUCCUGGGCAUCCUAACCAAAAUCGGAAAGUGAAGACCACCCUAACCGAAAUCGGAAAGUGAAGUAUGUUAAAUUCACAUCAAGAUCUAGAGUCAACAUUUUCACCCAUUUACAAACCAAACCAUUUUAUUUUUUGGAGAUAGUGAGACUGUUUAAGAGAUCUCAUGGGGUAAAUAAAGAAAUGACAUCUACAGUAAAAUGACUAUCAACAGCGCUUUCCUAUCAGGAAAGAUAUUUUAAAUAUAGGUGUUUCUUUGUGAAUUAAUUUCAGAAUUGGCUCUUUUUUGUUUGUUUAACAUUUGUAAACUAAGGACAAUAAAGAAAACUGAGGUCAAAAUCUCAACGAACAGAAGUCUUUAUUCAAAGCCAGAAAGGUUAAUAAUGUUCUCAUAUAUACAUGUACAUUGUAAAAUGUGCAUGAAUACGAUUUGGCUGAUUUUUGGGUUUUUCUUUUUCACUUUUAUUAUAUAAGUCUGUAUCAAAAUAAAUGAAUGAUUAUGUAACGAUGAGUGUUGAUAAUGUUUUACAAUGUUUGAUGCAGAUGAUAAUGAAUGAACUAAAUGAUGUGUGAAAUAUAUCAAAAUAGGAUUAAAAUCUGCAAAAACUGUCUUCAUAAUAGCACACAUGGUUCUCCAUACUCUGCCUUUUAAGAGUCUUCAAAACUACUGUUUCGUAGCAAAUAGCCCAGUUAUUGUAGCUGUUUUACAUAAUAAAUGCUUAACCACAUAUCCUGUACAGAGAAACGACAAUUUAGACAAGAUUUAACAAAUAAUUCACUGCUUAGCCCAGCAUAGGAAAUUAAUGUAACCAUUUUUCUAAUGUAUUAAAUGUUUCAUCAACCAAAAGCAAUGUAUCUUAAAU
This is a long non-coding RNA of Magallana angulata, 10597 nucleotides long. RefSeq lists it as uncharacterized. NCBI's taxonomy places the organism in Eukaryota, Metazoa, Mollusca, Bivalvia, Ostreida, Ostreidae. The transcript is spliced from 2 exons. The record is from RefSeq and is a predicted model, not a curated record.